RNAcentral lists this ribosomal RNA (253 nucleotides) under uncultured bacterium. Its description in RNAcentral is "partial 16S ribosomal RNA". It matches the Rfam family "Bacterial small subunit ribosomal RNA", at positions 524 to 776 of the family's 1533-position model. The record is from RNAcentral.
UACGGGGGUGGCAAGCGUUGUUCGGAAUUACUGGGCGUAAAGGGCGCGUAGGCGGGGAGGUAAGUCGGGUGCGAAAUCCCUCGGCUCAACCGAGGAACUGCGCCCGAGACUGCCUAUCUUGAGUCCCGGAGAGGAAGGUGGAAUUCCCGGUGUAGCGGUGAAAUGUGUAGAGAUCGGGAGGAACACCGGUGGCGAAGGCGGCCUUCUGGACGGUGACUGACGCUGAGGCGCGAAAGCGUGGGGAGCAAACGGG